UUACUUAGUUUUGAACAUCACUAACUGGGCUUCCUCCGCUGGCCCAGCAUCCCAUAUUAUCCCAUCUGGUGGCUGCUCUGUUUAUAUUUGCUGCUCCCUGCGCGGCGCGGCGGUUGGUGGGGGGAGUCUUGAAAGUCGUAAAAGUAAACAGAGCAUGUGGUGUACUCCAUGGAUGGCAGUGCGCCGUAAAGCGCUUAAUUUUUUGUUGCCCUUCGCUGGCUCCAAUUUGAAGGAAGGUGAGAAAUAUGGCGCUCUGGCUGCCCUGCUACUCCAUUUCCUGGCACACAAUAUGUAUGCUAGACGAGUAUGGCGAGGAAUUAAGGCGGCGCACUUUAAGGAGUUGCUUAAAGAUGAGGAUUACUAGCCGAAAGGAGCCGAAAUAAUUUGACCCACAUUUUGGGGCAAGUUACUGGCCGCGGGACAUGAGUUUAGUUGGACGGGCGGGGGUCCCUGGGAACGGCGGCCACACAGCAGUGUACUCUGUGUACUUGGCUCAUGCAUAACGCAAAUGCUGGAAACGCCGCAAGGAGCCGCAUCGGCAUCCUUGCCAGUUUCGUCCUCGUCGAGGUCCCAGCAUGUCCACGCAAUAACGAUUGCGGGCAUAAUGCCCAUAAUGUCCUCAUAAUUACUGCCCACUCACCCCGCUCCUCCUGGGGGAGCUUGAACGUCCUGUCUGGACCGAGCAAGCAGCUCCCAGGACGACGAACGACGAAGGACGCAGGACACAGGACGCAGGACCAACGUGUUGACACCGCCUGGCCUGUGCAAUUUGCAUUUAAUGUACGCAUUGUUUUAUUAAUUUUGAGUGUUCUCAUUAAAACUCACACAACGUUCCUGGAAUUAAUAUUUGCGCUGGAAAAAGUGCACCUUCAGGCGGUGGAAACUAAGUGAAGAACGACGGUGUCGUACGAUGAAU
Molecule: non-coding RNA, 916 nt
Organism: Drosophila melanogaster (fruit fly)
Lineage: Eukaryota; Metazoa; Arthropoda; Insecta; Diptera; Drosophilidae
Source: Ensembl